AUCUCUAUCUGGAGAUCAAUCCUCUUGGAGCCCUUCUGUGAGUCUAGGACACAGGAAGUGAUAUUCCUGAGAUGAUGAAUGGAUGUGGCUAGUUGCAGAUUUUAGAGGCUUCAGCGCAGAUCAGGUUUGCUGCAGAGAACCUGGUAACCUGGUUUAUAUCUUUCUCUGGUGGUUUAAGACUUCUAGAGCUUCUGGUCACUAGCAGCUGCAACAGCUGUUGGGACAAGAUGGCAGAAAGAAUUGCUGCUAACACUAAAGCAAACAGCAGUUCUGCUAUGAAUGAGAAGGACUGAGGACCCUCAGGCAAUCAAUUCUGGCACCAUAAUCCUGCUGGGAUGGUGUCUCUUACUUCCUUUAUUUUUUCAUCAUACUUUCUACAUUAUGGAACUGCGGUGUACAAACAGUCAGCCCCAGGCCUACCCCUGACUAGUUCUCUAUAGACAUAUGCUGAGGGAGUGGAUAACCUGGGGACCUAAAGCAACUUCUGAGGGGUCCAUUCCUCUGGCAUUUUUUUAUUUGUCUGGGUGUACUACUUUCUGUCCUUUUGAGCUUUCUGGAUUUCUCAAAGAGGACUAUCUUGCACAGUCUUACUAAUCAUAUAAUCAUAUGGUCUAUGUUGAACUGGGAUGUGGAAGAUACUCCAAGGCAUAUACUUCUCCCAGUUAAACUGAUGACUGUUUCAGUUGACAGUCCUGUUUAACUGAGCUCUGAGGUUGGAAUUAAUGAUUAUAAGGAGCUUGUUUUUGUUCAGAAUUGGUUUUGAGAUGUGAAUGUAACAUCUUUCAUUCCUUGGAGUAUGUCUGGAGUUUCUCUGUUUAUAUCAUAGGACACACUGGUAGUGUUAAUUUUUAUCUGGAAAAGUAAUUAUUGUUUCCUUUGGCUGAAAUUGAACUGAUAGAAAUUACUGCUUGUAAUGUCAUGCAAUUACUAAUUGCUAGGGUAAAUGAUGAGAUGCAGGACAAAAAAACCAUAGAAUCAAAUUGCUUAAUCACAAAUAAUGAAGAAAUGUCAUCACAGGAACAGAAAUGGAUGCUUUGUAUUUUUAUUGUCUGUAGCUUGCACAAGAGUCACUGUUAUUUCAGGCAGUUACCUCUAGAUAUGCAUGGAUGGAGUUUUGCAGGUGACUGAAAUUGCUUUCCCCCUCACCAAAGUGUACAGUAAUUGUGAGAGUAAGCAAAGCAUUAAGCUGUGAAUUGAUAGCUAGAGACACAGCUGCCAAAACACAAAUGUUUUGUGUCCAAAAUAAGUAUGUGCUUAUACAAUAUGUGCCUAUGUAUAUCUUCAAGUGUAUUUCUACAACUUUACAGAGUAUUUUCUGUGAUUUGCUACAGCUAUGAACCAGCUAUAUAUGGCCGUAGGAAUGACUCUUCAUAUAAAUUAUUUUGUGUGCUAUUGUCUUUUCUGUAUCUGCUACCAUUUAGGAGCUGUGUAUGCUAGGAAUAGUUUUCUGAAAGUGCUGAGUAUCUUUAAUUCUUAUUAGAAAAGUUGAUCCAGAGGAGUUGGGCAACCUCUGAGCUCAAAUGGAAGUAUAUGUGCAACUAUAAACAUUCAAAUAAAAUAGGAAGACAACUC
This is a long non-coding RNA of Gallus gallus (chicken), 1572 nucleotides long. The record is from Ensembl. Lineage: Eukaryota; Metazoa; Chordata; Aves; Galliformes; Phasianidae.